RNAcentral lists this ribosomal RNA (253 nucleotides) under uncultured bacterium. RNAcentral's name for it is "partial 16S ribosomal RNA". It matches the Rfam family "Bacterial small subunit ribosomal RNA", at positions 524 to 776 of the family's 1533-position model. The record is from RNAcentral.
UACGUAGGGGGCAAGCGUUGUCCGGAAUCAUUGGGCGUAAAGCGCGCGUAGGCGGCCCGGUAAGUCCGCUCUGAAAGUCCAGGGCUUAACCCUGGAAAGCGGGUGGAUACUGCCGGGCUUGAAUCCGGAAGAGGCGAGUGGAAUUCCUGGUGUAGCGGUGGAAUGCGCAGAUAUCAGGAGGAACACCAAUAGCGAAGGCAGCUCGCUGGGACGGUAUUGACGCUAAGGCGCGAAAGCGUGGGGAGCGAACAGG